This 445-nucleotide ribosomal RNA is filed under the name Nanobdellota archaeon. RNAcentral describes it as "bacterial SSU rRNA". It matches the Rfam family "Archaeal small subunit ribosomal RNA", at positions 1003 to 1478 of the family's 1478-position model. Lineage: Archaea; Nanobdellati; Nanobdellota. The record is from RNAcentral.
GUCAGCCUGUGUCGUGAGAUGAUCUGUUGAAUCAGGUAACAGGCGAGACCCGUAUGCAUAUUUGCACUGAACAAUAUGCAGACUGCCUUGGUAACAAGGAGGAAGGUGCGGACCACGUUAGGUGAGUACAUCCCAAAUACCCUGGGCUACACGCGCGCGGCAAUGCUGAAUUCAAAGGGCUGCAACACCGAAAGGUGAAGCUAAUCUCAUAAACUUCAGCCUAGUUCAGAUUGAGGGUUGCAACUCACCCUCAUGACGCUGGAAUUGGUAGUAAUUGGUUUUUAUCAGAGACCAGUGAAUAAGUCAAUGUCCCGUGCUCUCACCGCCCGUCAAACCAACCGAGUUUAGCUUUGGCGAGGCCCGUCAGGGACGAACCUUUGUUAGACAAGGUAGGUUAAGUCGUCACAAGGUAACUGUAGGGGAACCUGCAGUUGGAUCACCUCCU